UGACCUCGGAUCAGGUAGGGAUACCCGCUGAACUUAAGCAUAUCAAUAAGCGGAGGAAAAGAAACCAACAGGGAUUGCCCCAGUAACGGCGAGUGAAGCGGCAAGAGCUCAAAUUUGAAAGCUGGCUCCUUCGGGGUCCGCAUUGUAAUUUGCAGAGGAUGCUUCGGGAGCGGUCCCCAUCUAAGUGCCCUGGAACGGGACGUCAUAGAGGGUGAGAAUCCCGUAUGGGAUGGGGUGUCCGCGCCCGUGUGAAGCUCCUUCGACGAGUCGAGUUGUUUGGGAAUGCAGCUCUAAAUGGGUGGUAAAUUUCAUCUAAAGCUAAAUAUUGGCCGGAGACCGAUAGCGCACAAGUAGAGUGAUCGAAAGAUGAAAAGCACUUUGAAAAGAGAGUUAAAAAGCACGUGAAAUUGUUGAAAGGGAAGCGCUUGCGACCAGACUCGCUCGCGGGGUUCAGCCGGCAUUCGUGCCGGUGUACUUCCCCGCGAGCGGGCCAGCGUCGGUUUGGGCGGUCGGUCAAAGGCCUCUGGAAGGUAACGCCCCCUCGGGGGCGUCUUAUAGCCAGGGGUGCAAUGCGGCCUGCCCGGACCGAGGAACGCGCUUCGGCUCGGACGCUGGCAUAAUGGUCGUAAGCGACC
RNAcentral lists this ribosomal RNA (635 nucleotides) under Penicillium brevicompactum. Its description in RNAcentral is "eukaryotic LSU rRNA". It matches the Rfam family "Eukaryotic large subunit ribosomal RNA", at positions 1 to 649 of the family's 3401-position model. Lineage: Eukaryota; Fungi; Ascomycota; Eurotiomycetes; Eurotiales; Aspergillaceae. The record is from RNAcentral.